Molecule: ribosomal RNA, 255 nt
Filed under: uncultured bacterium
Lineage: Bacteria
Description: partial 16S ribosomal RNA
Rfam family: Bacterial small subunit ribosomal RNA
Source: RNAcentral
UACAGAGGUCCCAAGCGUUGUUCGGAUUCAUUGGGCGUAAAGGGUGUGUAGGUGGCGCCGUAAGUCGGGUGUGAAAUUUCGGAGCUUAACUCCGAAACUGCAUUCGAUACUGCGGUGCUUGAGGACUGGAGGAGGAGACUGGAAUUCAUGGUGUAGCAGUGAAAUGCGUAGAGAUCAUGAGGAAGACCAGUGGCGAAGGCGGGUCUCUGGACAGUUCCUGACACUGAGACACGAAGGCCGGGGGGAGCAAACAGG